Ostrinia nubilalis (European corn borer) is the source of this 1808-nucleotide long non-coding RNA. RefSeq lists it as uncharacterized. The record is from RefSeq and is a predicted model, not a curated record. NCBI's taxonomy places the organism in Eukaryota, Metazoa, Arthropoda, Insecta, Lepidoptera, Crambidae. The transcript is spliced from 3 exons.
UAAUAAUAAUAAUAAUAAUAAAAUAACUUUAUUAACACACAUUACAAAAAACAAUACAACAGAUUUUAAAAAGAAAAAGACGAAUGCAUGUUAAUAGGGCGCCCGCUCAGUUUUAGUUGGGACACCUUAUAGGAUGUCCCGACACUGAUUUUCAGCGGGAAGCCCUAUUAGCUACUGCGCAUCCCUACCGGCGAGCCUGGUGUAAAAGGAAAAUAAUGUUAAUAUAAAAUUAAAUUUAAAACUAAAACAGCACAGAAGGGAUACGCAGCAACUAUUUGUCGCGGGGUACGUGGACACGAACAUAAACCAAUACUAAUAAUAAUAUAACACAGACACAAUUCGAUAAUUAUCAGGAAGAAAUUAUUUAAAACAUUUAACAUAAAAUUUACAAUAAAAAGUUAUUUCCAUUACAUACUUACAAACACGGACAAUACAAUAAAAUUGUACCAAUCCUAUGUCUUCUCCACUUCACGCGAGGCAACUCAAGGAACAAAGAUAGUGAGGUGAAAAAAACAAAGAGAAGAAAAAAAAAAAAAAAUGAACGAAAAAGAACUGACAUGUCAAACGUGACAGUGUGUCGUUCAAAUAACGAUUCGACAAAAUAAAAAUAAAAAUAAAAAUUAACCUACCACCGACAGAGUGAAAAAUCACUUUCUUUGGCUACCACGGAUUUAAUUGUGAAUUGUGAUUGCUACCUUCCAAGCAGUAAAUGGAAAAAAUCAAGAUUGUCCACGUAGUAAUGAUGUGGCAAGCAUGUGUCCUGAGGAUUACACCCAAAGUAUUACUUUCCUCUAUGGGAUUGACGUUCUCACACUAAUAACGAUAACAACCCUUUAAUGCGUGGCUGGGAACUAUAUACGACUGCGUCAAUCAAAGAUUAUAAUAUUAUAUUUGGAUUGCGCACUAACUAUAACAAGAUGAGGCCGCCAGUGACGCUCAACGACCGUUCGCGCAGGAAUUAAUGCGCGCGACCGGGGUGAUGGCGGCCCAUCUAAUCGGCCACAGAGACACCCACCCAACGUGAGUGCGAUCCUCACUGGUGCCGGGACGACGCAGACAGGCCAGCUGCUGCCAAUACACGCGACGCGCAUGCACUCAAGGGCGCGCAACGGCGGUGGCAGGUCGUUCCAGCAACGCGAGGCCGCAUACCUGAAGGAUCCACGGAAUGCCAUGGUGCGAUGUUUCGGAGUUGCAAAUAUGCGGGUGCAAGAUCUUUUUUGAUAUCUGCUAUGACUCUGAGCCCAUUCCAGCUUAUUAAGCAGGUAACUAGGUCUCAUUUUAGUAAUGACUCCGAACAACAUUACUGCAAGGUGUAGCUUUCUACGUGCCUCCAUUUUGAGCAUGUUAGCGGCAUUGAGAAAAGGGGUUAUAUGAGAUCGGGGGGGAACCAUGAAGCAAAAACGGGCACAUGCAUUUUGCACCCUCUGUAUAAGGCGAGCAGAUCUGGACAGCAGGCAUGACCCAUACACUGUGUCGCAGUAGUUUAGUCUACUUAAGACCAGCGAUUCACACAAUGUUACUCUAAUUCUUUCACUGAGGUAUGGUCUCAGCCUGUAAAGAAGCUUUAGUCGGUAAAAGCAAUUACGGGCGCACUCAGCAACAUGAUUUUCGAACCUCAAUUGACUGUCAAAGGUUAAUCCAAGGUUUUUUGCUCUAUCAACCAACUCCAACGGCUCACCAUUUAUCAUUACUCUGCUACUACCAUUAACAUUAAUUUGGAUUUUUAACUUCUCAAUAUUUUUAGUGGUUCCAAUUAACAUUAAUUUAGAUUUUUGGGGAUUGAGAACAAGGCAAUUUGAGUUACACCA